Molecule: ribosomal RNA, 253 nt
Filed under: uncultured bacterium
Lineage: Bacteria
Description: partial small subunit ribosomal RNA
Rfam family: Bacterial small subunit ribosomal RNA
Source: RNAcentral
AGGACGAACGCUGGCGGCGUGCUUAGCACAUGCAAGUCGAGCGGAAAGGCCCUUCGGGGUACUCGAGCGGCGAACGGGUGAGUAACACGUGAGUAAUCUGCCCCUAGCUCUGGGAUAGCUCCGGGAAACCGGGAUUAAUACCGGAUACGACCACUACGGACAUCUGUGGUGGUGGAAAGAACUUCGGCUAGGGAUGAGCUCGCGGCCUAUCAGCUUGUUGGUGGGGUAACGCCUACCAAGGCGACGACGGGUA